UACGGGGGGGGCAAGCGUUGUUCGGAAUUACUGGGCGUAAAGGGCGCGUAGGCGGUCAGACCAAGUCGAAUGUUAAAUUCCAGGGCUUAACUUUGGACGGUCGUUCGAUACUGGUCGGCUAGAGUCCGGUAGGGGAGCAUGGAACUCCUGGUGUAGCGGUGAAAUGCGCAGAUAUCAGGAAGAACACCAGUGGCGAAGGCGGUGCUCUGGGCCGGAACUGACGCUGAGGAGCGAAAGCGUGGGGAGCAAACAGG
Molecule: ribosomal RNA, 254 nt
Filed under: uncultured bacterium
Lineage: Bacteria
Description: partial 16S ribosomal RNA
Rfam family: Bacterial small subunit ribosomal RNA
Source: RNAcentral